Long non-coding RNA from Etheostoma spectabile (orangethroat darter), 747 nucleotides. RefSeq lists it as uncharacterized. The transcript has 3 exons. The record is from RefSeq and is a predicted model, not a curated record. Lineage: Eukaryota; Metazoa; Chordata; Actinopteri; Perciformes; Percidae.
AUGCAAUGCACUGUGGAAUUUUUUUACAGGAGCAGAUAAACCGCAUAUUCACAGGAUGCAUUCAUGUCAUAUAGCAGAAAUAACAACAACCCGAGCAAAUUUGCAACACUUGUUGCAUCUAACCAAUAAAUUCCUAUGACUAGAUUCAACUUUAUUUUUGUUGCAUCCAGUUUAAAAGUAUUGAGAUGACAAAAUGCAGUUUAGCAUCUAACCAGAAGUGCAAAAAAGCAGUAAAAUGCAGAGAAUAAUAAAUACUAUGGGUAGUAAUUUAAUUCCAAACACCUUAUUUAUCCUGUGGGGCAAUUAGCAGAGGCACAUAGCAGAAUAAAACAGCAAAUAAAAGUAAAAAAUACAAGUGUGAGCCGUACACAUUGUUACACCACAAUAACAAUGACAUGAGAAUGACAAUAUUAGUGCAAAAACAGCUGUACACAAUAUUAAUGAUAUUGAUAUGAGAAUGGCGAUGUUAGUGCAAGUAUUAUGCAGUAAACACAAACAGCCAGGAGUUUAUAUACUGUAUAUAUAUACAAUAUAUAUACAGUAUAUAAACUCACUUUGAGCUCAAAUGUAGGUUGUUGACUUGAUAAUCAAUCGGCCACAAUGGAUUCACCAUUUUAAUAAACUAAUUUUAUGGAACAAAAAGCUCCAAAACAUAACCCUUUGGAUCAAGCACUUGAUAAAUGUAACUAUUUGCUGGUUUUCUUAGUUUUCUAUGACAGUAAACUGUAUUUCUUUGGGUUUUAACUG